AGUUCGGAUCGCAGGCUGCAACCCGCCUGCGUGAAGUUGGAAUCGCUAGUAAUCGCGGAUCAGCAUGCCGCGGUGAAUACGUUCCCGGGCCUUGUACACACCGCCCGUCACACCAUGAGAGUCGGGAACACCCGAAGUCCGUAGCCUAACUUUAACGAGGGGCGCGGCCGAAGGUGGGUUCGAUAAUUGGGGUGAAGUCGUAACAAGGUAGC
Molecule: ribosomal RNA, 212 nt
Filed under: uncultured bacterium
Lineage: Bacteria
Description: partial 16S ribosomal RNA
Rfam family: Bacterial small subunit ribosomal RNA
Source: RNAcentral